GGCCACUCUCCUGGCAUGAGUUUGGCAGCUGACUGUGGUCCUCAUCCCCAAAUCUCCGUAUCUUUCUCCAGUUCACAGAGCUCCCCAUCCACAGUGAGAUGCAAGUGGCUCGGUUGCUGGCAUCAUCUCUGCUGCAAUUGUGAUGAUCGCCAUUCUUGCCCUGGGGAAGCUUCUGGAACCCUUGCAGAAGUCGGUCUUGGCAGCUGUCGUAAUUGCCAACCUGAAAGGGAUGUUUAUGCAGGUGUGUGACAUUCCUCGUCUGUGGAGGCAGAAUAAGAUUGAUGCUGUUAUCUGGGUGUUUACGUGUAUAGUGUCCAUCAUUCUGGGGCUGGAUCUCGGUUUACUAGCUGGCCUUAUAUUUGGACUAUUGACUGUGGUCCUGAGAGUUCAGUUUCCUUCUUGGAAUGGCCUUGGAAGCAUCCCUAGCACAGAUAUCUACAAAAGUACCAAGAAUUACAAAAAUAUUGAAGAACCUCGAGGAGUGAAGAUUCUUAGAUUUUCCAGUCCUAUUUUCUAUGGCAAUGUUGAUGGUUUUAAAAAAUGUAUCAAGUCCACAGUUGGAUUUGAUGCCAUUAGAGUAUAUAAUAAGAGGCUGAAAGCACUGAGGAAAAUACAGAAACUAAUAAAAAAUGGACAAUUAAGAGCAACAAAGAAUGGCAUCAUAAGUGAUGCUGGUUCAACAAAUAAUGCUUUUGAGCCUGAUGAAGAUA
Molecule: small RNA, 710 nt
Filed under: Pongo abelii (Sumatran orangutan)
Lineage: Eukaryota; Metazoa; Chordata; Mammalia; Primates; Hominidae
Description: processed transcript
Source: RNAcentral